GUGGGGAAUCUUAGACAAUGGGCGCAAGCCUGAUCUAGCCAUGCCGCGUGAGCGAUGAAGGCCUUAGGGUUGUAAAGCUCUUUCGUGGGGGAAGAUAAUGACUGUACCCCAAGAAGAAGCCCCGGCUAACUCCGUGCCAGCAGCCGCGGUAAUACGGAGGGGGCUAGCGUUGUUCGGAAUUACUGGGCGUAAAGCGCACGUAGGCGGACUGGAAAGUCAGGGGUGAAAUCCCGGGGCUCAACCCCGGAACUGCCUUUGAAACUCCCAGUCUUGAGGUCGAGAGAGGUGGGUGGAAUUCCGAGUGUAGAGGUGAAAUUCGUAGAUAUUCGGAGGAACACCAGUAGCGAAGGCGGCCCACUGGCUCGAUACUGACGCUGAGGUGCGAAAGCGUGGGGAGCAAACAGGAUUAGAUACCCCUGUAGUCC
RNAcentral lists this ribosomal RNA (425 nucleotides) under uncultured bacterium. Its description in RNAcentral is "bacterial SSU rRNA". It matches the Rfam family "Bacterial small subunit ribosomal RNA", at positions 354 to 796 of the family's 1533-position model. The record is from RNAcentral.